UCUCUUAGCCUGGCAACGCUCAUGUUCAUGAUGCUGCAUCGCUGUCACAGUGCACGAGCCAUGUGCUGGGCCCAGUUGGCAUAGCCCACCAUGCAACUGGAAGGCCCGGGUGCCAGUUCCCUGGACAGAAUCGUGGAAAUGCCUUUGCUAUGGAAACCGAGAUCUGGAUUCCGGAGCACCUGCAGGUACUCUACCAUUCAAAGAGAAGAGAAAAUGGGUCCCUGCAGGUGUUAGUAGCUGACGUGUCCAGUACUGUCUGCUUUCUUUAUGGAGGCUUUGAACCUGGAGAUCAGCUCUUUCCCUGAACCAUCGCUCAACCGUGUCUUUCCCCAGAACAACUGAUAUUAUGCUCUUGAGUGAACGCAGAGUAUGAGGUCUGUUCUUGUUUUCAUCUGGCGCAUUGAGGGCCAACCCAAGGCUUCACCACUGGUGUUCAGGAAGCGCUAUUCCUUGAAGAUGUGUGUGACAGAAGACACCAAGGGCUUUAACUAAGUUCAGAUUUGGGUGUCUCCAUUUUAAACAGUGGCUCUGCUUUCUACUUUUAUUAAAUAAAAUUCCAGGAAGCAAGCAAGUGCAUCAGUAAUUUUAGAAUCCAGCUUGCCUAUGAUCAUAAGGGACUUUCAGCCUUUGGAGCAGAGCAAAGGGAUCCUUCUAACUGACAUGAUAUUUGAAGACUCUUCCCUUCAUAAAUCAUUGCUAAACCAAAAUAUUCUCAGUCCUCUCAUCUCCGAACCUGGUUUACAGACCUCACAGAAUUCAAUCUUGUCCACACAAAUUCUAGAAAAUAACACAGCCUGCAUCCGGGUGUCAGUGAGCUUAACUCUAAUAGCUUGUGGUACUUACUGAUGGUCUCAGUUUCCACGAGACUCAUUUUGUCUCUGAAAUAGAAGCUGAACUUGUUUCUGUACAGCACUGUCAAGAAGACUGAGUGUGUUCCGCACCCAGUACAUCAGUGAGCGUUAGUGAU
Alexandromys fortis (reed vole) is the source of this 967-nucleotide long non-coding RNA. RefSeq lists it as uncharacterized. Lineage: Eukaryota; Metazoa; Chordata; Mammalia; Rodentia; Cricetidae. The record is from RefSeq and is a predicted model, not a curated record. The transcript has 3 exons.